Argentina anserina (silverweed cinquefoil) is the source of this 2743-nucleotide RNA transcript. RefSeq lists it as uncharacterized. NCBI's taxonomy places the organism in Eukaryota, Viridiplantae, Streptophyta, Magnoliopsida, Rosales, Rosaceae. The transcript is spliced from 2 exons. The record is from RefSeq and is a predicted model, not a curated record.
UUUCUCUAAUGUUUUGGAUAUCUACCUCUCCCAUUGUUGUAUGGCAAUUCUGAUGCUCAUGAUUUACUGUUUUGGGUACUGGGUUUUGCUUGUAGAUGACUAAAGUGGGUUUUAUUUAUUCACUCUGAUUGAUGUUGAUUUCUGAGUUCUUGGCGCUUUACUUUAUUGUUCUGUCAGGAUUUCCUUUCUAAAGUUCACUUUUGUUUUGAUUUUGACCAAAUAUCUGGAAAUGGGGUUUCAUUUUCAACAAAUAUGUUAGCCAUCUUAUGAGAAAAGAAUGGGGCUUUUGUCUUUUAUCGUUUUGGAAAUUCUUAAUUCGUUUUCCAUUUGUGAUCUCCAGUUUGUGCAUGUCUAUAUCAAGGUUGUUAUAUUCCUUUAUCAUUUUUAUUUUUGCCAUCUCCAGUUAGUGUAUAAAUGUAUUAUUAAGAUAGUGUUGGUGUCUGAAUCUAAUUUGAGGAAUAUUAGAUGAGUUGCAAAGUGAAUGUGAAUGUUAAAUUGGUAAUGGUAAUCAAGUCACUGACAGUUCAUGAAUUGCUGAGAUGGUCAUGUUUUAAUCGUGUGAAAAGUAGAAAGAUCACUUUGAUUUGCAUCGUAGAGUUAAUACUUAUAUCGUAUGGUUUUAUUAUUAGACUAGGAGUGUAUUGGAAUUACCAUGUAGGCAGGUUUCUUACACUUGCAUGUAUGCAGGGAGAAGUCAAGAUUGGGAUAGUGUACUGCUAGGAUAAUUACAUCAUGUUGAAGAAGGCACCAAGUAGGAAUCACCGAACCAAAGGAAUCAAGUUGAAGCAUAUUUUGCAGAUCGCCCUGCUUCUCGGGGUUUGCUUUUGGUUGGUUUAUCAGCUCAAGCAUUCCCAUGAUAAGAAAGUGGUGUUGGAUGAGAAAUCUGCAAAAGCCUCAAUCAGAUCCCUGAGUGAAGGUGAGCUUCUGAAACUUGGGAGGAAAGAUCUUCCUCACAAGGACGUCGGUAAAAAUGUGAAACAAGAGGUAGAGGGGGAGGACGAAACUGUAGGAGACGAAGAAGAGAAGCAUGAGGUAGAAGGGCUAGAGGAAGAAGGUCAAAAACAUGAAGCAGAUGAGCGAGAAGAUGAGGAUCGGAAGGAAGAACAAGAAGAGGAAGAAAAUAAGAAUGAAGAUAUAGAAGAGGAGGGAGGAGCUGGAGAUGAUGAGAUAGAUGAAAAUGAGCAAGAGAAAAAAGAAGGUAGAACUGACCAUGAAGAAGACCUUGUAGAUGAUGAGAAAGAAAGGGAAGAUGAGGAGGAUGAUGAGAAGGGUGAAAAGGAUGGUGAGAGGAAUGAGAGUGAAGAGAGAAUGGGUCGAGCAGACAAUGAGAACUCAUCAGCGAAUCAAGAUAACAGAGGUGAUAAGAAUGCUCAUGAGGCACGAGAGGAAAAUUACAGGCGGGAUGAUGCCUCUAGUGCAGUGACCCAUAAUGCCCAAGUUAUAAGUACUGAAACUGAGGAAGUAAGUUCAGAAAGUGCAAAUGAGAACUCUGGAAGUGGUGCUCUGGAGAAGGAGGUAAAAUCUAAUUACACUGAGGAUCUAAAUGGAAAUCAGAACAGCUCAAGAUUAUUGGAUGGUAGGACAGCUGGAAAUGACACUGCAAGUGUGGCUGCUACUGAGGAGAAAGUCAAUGAGAAUUUGCCCAAUGCUGUAAAUGCAACUAUGAAACUACAGUCUGAUGACAUACCAGAAGCAGACAGUAACUCAACAAUUGUGAGCAUAGAAGCGAGCAACAGCUCACCGGAAGUCAACCAGGCAAAUGGAACAGAAGCUUUAUCCGUGUCAGGUCUCUCUCAAAAUGUUACAUUGGAUGGCAUGACUACUAGAGAGGAAAUUACCGGCAAAACCUUGAUUGUGGAACAGACUAAUAACACCAUUUCUGAUAAUAAUCACUCGGAUUCUAAUGCAACAGUUCCCAGUGAUAAGGCUGAGAGUAAUGUGUCCGAAAAGAUCUUAAGAUAUAAUGGCACUGCUCAAGUGGAGGAUGAUUCCAGGUCCUUAACAAUGAAUGAGUCUAUGGAUGCUAUGAAGAAUGAAGAAUUGAAGAAUGAAGAAUUGAAGAAUGAAGAUACCAACAAGAAUGAGGACUUGAAGAAUGAAAAUGCCACGAAGAACAAAGAGUCAAAUGGCACGAGGGAGUCCGACAGGAUUGGUGACAGUUCAGACUCCAGAAAUGGGACGCAAUAUGCAGUUCAGCAUGACCCCAUUGAUUCUUCUGAUUCCCUUGUUUCCGAAGACAAGAAAGGGGCUCACACGGAUUUAGAUACAUCACCAGAGAUGAAAACAGAUGGUCAUGAGAAUGGACAAGCUGCAGCAGAGUGAGUUUUAUGGUCUUUGGUUCUUCUGGUGCUUUCAGUUUUCAUGCUUACCUUUGGUCUUGAUGUGCAAGGUGGUAUGAAAUCCCAAUGCGGUGAGUCAUUUCUGUGCAUAACCAGAUUCCAUCCGUUCACCGUUCUACAUUAUUAUUGUUGUGCUUUCAAACUUGACUGAAGAAAUUUAUUGAUCAAUGAUCCAAGUUGACAGUUUGAUGCCAUAUGAAUUAGAGCUUUUGUUGAUGCCAGUGGUAAAUUGUUUCCAAACUUACCACUAGAAUGUUUGGUCGAGAGAUUUAUGGACUGGUUCUUAAUCAACACAACAUUGUACUAAUAUGUUUCGCUAAUUUGCACUUGUUCAUCUUGGUCUUUCUUGAUAUGAAGUAAAAACUAUACAUCAUGUUGGUGGCAUUCUUAUACUUGGACAUUUU